GGUAUUAGCCUCCCCUCCGCUCAUCCCCCCCACCUCCCAACACAAAGCUGGCUCUCGGCUGACAGUUUAUCAGAGAUAAAUGGAAACACCUGGGAGCCAGAUAAGGCCAACUGAGUGUGAUCAGCUGAGGAGCCCUUAGGGACGCAUGCCACUCUGUAUUUCUUUUUCCACACAAGGCAGGGUGGGAGCACGAUCUAGCCCGUGACCGAUGGCAAGGCUCACUUUCACAUUCAUCCUUUCCUUCAUUCAUUCCAAACAACCUCAAGAGGUCAGCCGGCCCAGCUUCCUGCCCGAGGUAGGUCAACACUGAAACCACCAGCAGGGCGGAUGAAACAGAUAAUUUGGAGCAUCUGCAGAGACGUGCCUGGGGCCGUGGGGGUGACCCUGCUGUUCCCUCCUUAAGGAAACACCAAAGCGAAGCCAGCCGCAGGGAAGAAAUCAUUCCGCACCCACACCGUGACAGAGAUCGGUGAAGAGGAGGCUCGAUUCCUCACGCGGGCCGGCCGUUCGCGUGGCGACUGCAGGACUGGGGGAGCGAUCUCGGCCCGACCCAGGAGUCCUCGAGCUCCCGCCGCCUCCCGGCCCAUCCCAGCCUUCUGGAUCAACAACCCCCUCUUUCAGUCAAUAGGAGCUUUGUGAGCUGAGCCGCAGAUGCCACAGGGCCUAGAAGGCGAAUAACUGUGGUUAUUCAACGUUCUGUCGCCCUGUGUGGGAUUCAGGAAAUCAAUGACGGUUGCCCCGGCAACCAGGACACAACUUCCGGCCGGGUGCACAGGCCUUGCUGUCGGCCGCACGCGGGGUUGCCCCCGACCCCCUCGCGCGGAGACAACGCGAUCUGGCCGCCUGCUCGCUGUUGGAAACCGAACGGCGGCCUCCUAAAGCCGCGCUUCCAGAUUUAAAGCUGUUUUCCAGCAACUGGUUGUAAAGGCUUAAAAAAAAAAAAAGGCGCUAACAUAAUCUCAGAUGCAUUUAAGUGUGGGGUGAUUCAGCAAGACGGACACAACUUCAGAAUCUGGAGACACGGAAAGGCAGAGCAGGACCUUCUUAGAAUGAGAGUGGUCAGGAUCAGCCCUGCCUCCUGCCUGCUCUCUCCGAUGUCCCUAAAGAGAGACCAGUGCCACCGUGCCUGGGAGCAGGGAUUCUGCUCACAGCAAAAGCCUGUGGCCCAUGGCAGUAAGGAGGGAGCAGGGAUUCACCGUGCCUGGGACAGGAGGCUGACCAGUCUACUGUCUAAGUGGCUAUGGGAGCUGAGGCAAGGUUACCUCUUCCGUGCCUCAACCUCCUCAUCCGUGAAAUGGGGAUGUGGCGUUGGUAGACUAUAGGGUUAUUCAGUUCAUUUGGCUUUGGAGCAGAGAGUAUUACUGGACCUCUUGGCAGGAUUUACUGAGGACAGCACUUAGCUAUUUUUCAUGACCCACUUGUAAUUCUGUGCCUGAGCCAAGAUCAGAAUUGGGACAUGUUACAUACGCACUACCUUGAGUUAGUUCUUUUUUUUAUUUUCUUAGCAAACCGUAUUUCUUUUUCCACUCCUCGUUCCUCCAUGAACUCUAAUUAAGCCCUCGCCCAUCUAGAGAGCAAGACAAGGGUGAGGUUUUGUUUUUGAAAAGACUCACAAGCUUGUAUGGCAGCAGGUUUUUCCACAGUUUGACAGCUUCAGUUCAGCUCGGUGUGGCUGAUUUAUAAGACACUGAGCUCAUUGGCUUUAUCCUCUGUUCUCCCCCAGCCAUUUUUCAAUCGAGUUGCCCUGGCUGGAAACAUCUGAGAAAGAAAUUUACUGAGAGAUGCACAAACAGCCUAUUCACAUUUCAUAAUUUUCGGGAACCUUCCCUGGAGGACCCGGGGGAGCCUAUUAAUGCAAGCACAACCCCUGGCCCGUGUCCCUGCACCCCGUCACCCCACUCACUGGUCCCAGACAAUAGCCGGGUCCCCUCCAAACUCGGCUUCUUUGACUCUAAUGCUAAGUGAGGGAGCUAACCCAGUACAUGCUGUUCUCAAAUCUUGCCUGGACUUGCCUGUGACAGCGGGAUUAGACAGGGAAAUAUGGACAGAAGGCACCCAAUGGAUUUAGUGAUUUAAUUGUCUGAGCACUUAAAAAUUCAGGAUUAAUGCCACUUUAAAUGUGGCUGCUCCUUUCUCAUUAACAGGAAUCUGUUUAAAAUAAUUCACUUGAAUAAAGACCUAAUGGAAGCUCAGAAGAAUGUCUUUGCUUGACUCAUCCUCCUCCUCUUUCCCCUCUCUAGCCAGGCCCUGUCCCCUGACCGAUUUGGUCUUAACGUACAGAACCUCUAAUCUGAAAUCGGCUUUUCCCACUCAGCUCUCCAUUUGUGCUUGAAGUAAUUUGCAAUGGCCACUAUCUGCAUCUUGUUCUCAGACGUGUCUUGGUCAAUUAGUGCAAUGUCACAGCCGUGUGUGUUAGCCUAACUCCAGCUGAGAGCUGUUAAUAAUAAACUUACCCACAGGACAAUCAUGCCAUAUGGUUAAUGGUCAAUCAAGACUAAAAUUUGCAUUAGGAAAAAAAAAAUGCUCCUGUCAACAGUGAGGGGGUGUAGGUCAUUGGUUAAGGAUGCUGGCUCGUUAAGAACCAAGUUCAGGUUAAUAGUGUACGCCCGGCAUCCUUACCUUGCUCCGACCCUAUGAUAUUUGUCUUGAGACACAGAGGCACGAUAACUAAAAUGACACAGCUGGAAUCCGAAGACAAGUGGACAAAACAUGGUGAGAUGCAUCAUACAGGUUGGGGAAUAGGGAUUUGUUGAGAAGAAACAUAGCUCAGAUUCUUUCCUAGGGAAAGGAGACAGAUCUGCAUUUUGGUCAUGGGAAAUGAUUUGUAUGCUACAAGAAAAAUUCUAUUUAAUGGGGGUUUUGAGGCAAAUAAAAACAAACUGAUCUGUGGCCAACGAGUAACGGAGGAGCAAUAACCCACUUGGGUGAUUCCAAUUAACUUCCUCCACUGGACUGAAGGGCUUAAGGUUAUUUGGGUUUGGUUUUGAGUUUGGGGUUUGGGGCAGGCUGUGGGGAGGGGAUGUGGAGGCCCUUGGCACAUAGCUUAACCUUGACUUGUGUUCCUAGCAAUAGCCAAAGCGAAUGGCAAUGCCAAUAAAGUAGAUACUUGUUUCAAUGGCAAAAACUAGUGCUUAUAUAUCUCUAUGUCAGUUUCACCAGAAAUGGCGAAGAACCAGGGGAGAAUGGUG
Mirounga angustirostris (Northern elephant seal) is the source of this 3188-nucleotide long non-coding RNA. RefSeq lists it as uncharacterized. The record is from RefSeq and is a predicted model, not a curated record. NCBI's taxonomy places the organism in Eukaryota, Metazoa, Chordata, Mammalia, Carnivora, Phocidae. The transcript is spliced from 3 exons.